RNAcentral lists this ribosomal RNA (574 nucleotides) under Engraulis encrasicolus (European anchovy). RNAcentral describes it as "partial 16S ribosomal RNA". It matches the Rfam family "Bacterial large subunit ribosomal RNA", at positions 1818 to 2597 of the family's 2925-position model. The record is from RNAcentral. Lineage: Eukaryota; Metazoa; Chordata; Actinopteri; Clupeiformes; Engraulidae.
CGCUCUUGCAUUCCAAAGUAUAAGGGUCCCACCUGCCCUGUGACUCUAAGUUUAACGGCCGCGGUAUUCUAACCGUGCGAAGGUAGCGCAAUCAAUUGCCUUUUAAAUGAAGGCCUGUAUGAAUGGUAUAACGAGGGUCUAGCUGUCUCUUUUUUCUAGUCAGUUAAACUGAUCUGUCCGUGCAGAAGCGGACAUAAAUAUACAAGACGAGAAGACCCUAUGGAGCUUUAGACACUAGCCAACUAUGAAUAAGCGACUGAACUGAACAAGUCCUAAAUACCCGCAGCCUUAUGGUGAUGUAGUCUUAGGUUGGGGCGACCACGGGAGAAAGUAAAGCUCCCAAGCAGACCGGGAAAACCCUUAAGCCGAGAGUUGCAACUCUAAGCCGCAAAAUUUUUGACUGAAAUGAUCCGGUUGAAAAACCGAUUAACGAACCAAGUUACCCUAGGGAUAACAGCGCAAUCCUCUCCCAGAGUCCCUAUCGACGAGGGGGUUUACGACCUCGAUGUUGGAUCAGGACAUCCUAAUGGUGCAGCCGCUAUUAAGGGUUCGUUUGUUCAACGAUUAAAGUCCU